AACAAAACCCCGAUCCCUCGAUCGAUCUCCGCCGCCGCCCGAUCGCACGCUCGAACCACCCCUACCCCAUCGGCCCCGUCGGAUCUCGCCGCUGGCGGACGACUCGAGAAGACCCCGCCGGAUCUCGCCCUCGUCGUCAGUUCUGGAUCGCCGCCGCCGCCGAUCCCCUCCGGAAAACAACGCCGAUCCCCUGCUCGCCCACGCACGCUGCCGCGGAUGGAGGCCGCCUGCUCGCGAUCCCCAAACCUGCUGGCGCCGCGCUCCGUAGGAUCCAAGUACGCCCCUCUCCGUGGUGUUCACUGAUUGCUUGGAGCAACAACGUGCUGUUGGAGUUGCCGAAGCAUUAGGUGAUUCGAUUGUGUGCGUUUGCUGGAUUUGUUUGACGAAGGAAUGAUGACAAUGAAGGACACACAGAGGAGUGUGAGCGGUGAUGGUACCAAGGUUACCGGCAGGUAUGCAUGCAGGAACUGACUGUACAGUGUUCCUAUAAUGCUACUGGUUUUAACGUCUGUACUGUGAUGCUACUGGCAGUUUAAAUAAAUCUGCUAUCAUUUGGGAUGUGAGUUGUCACAACUCGCUGUGCUCUGGUGUUCAGCUCAGAAUUUCUUUUGGGAAUGAUUCCUUUGAAUAGACUACUUAUGCUUGACAUUUUACUUUUGUUAUUUCUAUUUGUAACUCAAUUUCGGUAUCCUCUCAAAUUGACAAUACUUUUUCUGGAUAUGGUAGUUGAGAAUAGUUAUGGUAUAUAGCGGAGUUAGCCCAUCCUCACCAAUGACUCUUCCUCAGGGAUUUGCUGAACUAGAGUUAGUAAUGGGGGUAUUGCAAACUGUUUAGAAUUAUGGGGGUAUUGCAGACUUUAGAAACUGAAUUAAAUUUUUGUGCAAUUGAAAAAGGUGUAUACAACUUGAAUUUAUUAGGUAGUAUAGGAGAGAUAUGAAAUUUUAAAAUUGUUAGUCAGAUUUGUGUGUUGUUUUGGGUAGUAUUCAGUUUUGUUCCAUCUUAGAGGCCAAUAAUGCACAUGUGAUAUUAUCUACAUAAUUCAGUUUAUACGGCUUCCCAUAUUCCAAUGGUUGUAUUUUGCUAAAUUGCCAUCUACUUACUGGAAUUCUCACAAAUAGAAGUGCAGUCAGAAGGUAAAAAGGAUGGUAUGGUAUGUCUCCAUUCACAUGGUACUGAACUGUUAGUGAUUCUUUGUGUUAUUCUGCAGACUUGAACUUAGUUUCUAUGGUUUUCUUUUUCUGUUCAUAGAGGAGAGUAUAGUCUGAAGGGAAAAAUUGAUAUGCUCUGAAGGGUGUGCAAGAACAGUGAGAUUUAUAUUACUGAAUGUAUUGUUAACAAUUUGUUAUUUUGCAGACUUGCUCUCAGUUUUUAUUCUUGGCAGGUGAUUCUUCAUGAUAAUUUUUUGUAGAGGAACAUUUUUGCGAUGGGGCCUGGAACGGUGAUCGGUGGUGCUGGUGUCGGCAGUACGGUACAAGGUCAGGAUGCGGGAUGGGACUGCCAUCCGUGUGAGGCAGUCGGCGGCGAGGGUUUGUGGCAUCUCGAGGGGCGACCGUGGAUUCAAGGUGUUGGCCCGAGACCUCCGACGAGGGAGGAGACGAUGUUAGUAUUUCCAUAGGAAAAAAACAAGAGAAGAAGAACAAGAACAACGACGGCAAUCUCGGGUUCCAGGUACGAUGGAGCCGGCGGCGAAGUGCAUGGCGCUCGCAAACAUGAUAGUGGAUGGGGACGAUACCCUCAACUGCGGCAUCUGCUACCUCCCUCUCAAGCCACCAGUCUUCCAGUGUGGCGUCGGUCAUACCAUAUCCUCGCGGUGCCGCGACAAGAUGGUGGCGGCAAGGAGGUGUCGUGUGUGUCACAUCCGGUUGACCGGCGGCUAUCGCUGGAACAUCGCACUGGAGAGGCUAACAGAGUCCAUCCGGGUGCCGUGCGCCAACGCUGCCCACGGCUUCACAGCCACGCCGGCCUACUAUGACCACCCCGACCACCUCAAGGCGUGCCCUCACGACGCCGUGCUAUUGCCCGCAGGCAGACUGCGGUUUCGCUAGCUCCACGGCGGCACUCCUGGACCACUUUGCCGACACGCACGGGUGGCCGUGCAUGACCGAGCUUGGGCCUGGGCGUGUGUCGAGGUCCAGCUCUGUGACGGCUUCAACGCCUUCUCGGCCCGUGCCCAAUGCCGGCAGUACCUGUUCCUGCUGAACGUGGCGUUGAACCCGUUUGGCCGAGCGGUCUCCGUGCUCUCCCUGCAUCCUCGGGCGUUGUCGGCGGCGCCAUGUUCUUUGGAGUUUGAGGUAAGACUCAGGUACUGCUGCAACAUCAACCACUGUGGCGACACCAGGAAACUACGUUUAAAGUAGGGUGCACUGAUCUCUCCGAACUCAGAUUUAUGACAAGGACACAAGCAAAUUUAUAGCAUCCGUUGUGAUGAUACAAGGGAAGUAAGCAUAGAUGCGCUCAACGUGAUGAUAGAUGGGAGAGCUCGGCCUAUACUGCCAACUGAUCUGCAGCGGUGCAGAAGGAGAUUUCAAAAGCAGGGCAAGCGAGAGCGACUGUUCUAUUGAUGGUCAAAGGGAGGGCAUGGCAAGAGAGAUUGAGGGAGCUCUACUACCUCGAUCUUGGCAUAGAACCUGAUGGCAUCAUGCCCA
This is a long non-coding RNA of Aegilops tauschii subsp. strangulata, 2645 nucleotides long. RefSeq lists it as uncharacterized. The record is from RefSeq and is a predicted model, not a curated record. NCBI's taxonomy places the organism in Eukaryota, Viridiplantae, Streptophyta, Magnoliopsida, Poales, Poaceae.